RNAcentral lists this long non-coding RNA (1506 nucleotides) under Equus caballus (horse). RNAcentral describes it as "lncRNA (ENSECAG00000051976.1)". The record is from RNAcentral. Lineage: Eukaryota; Metazoa; Chordata; Mammalia; Perissodactyla; Equidae.
GCCUGCUUUCCUUGCUCCCUCAAGCCAUUUUCGAGCUUGAGACUGCUCUGCUCAUCCCAGAGGCCUCAGUUAUGUAUCAUGGAAUGAGCACCUCAUCUCUGUGAACAGUCGCCCCUAACUCUUCCUUCCCGACAAAAGAAUUCUGUCCUGACGGCACCCACUGUCUCUCCAUCUCCACCCGCCCUGUCCCCCCACUGCAGCUCUGCCUGGCUGCCUCUUUGCCAACUCCCGCAAAGAGUCUACUUCACGUUAGAUAAGGAUUCGAGGAGUCAUGUAUUGUUUUUAAAAGGAAGGAGGAGAGCAGACGCAGUCCUAAAACUGCAGGAGGAAAAGGAGGUGAUUCUGUGUCACGUUUGUUUUCAAGAGGGAUGCAGAUGAAAAGAGAAGCACAGGCGAAGCUGCCCAGCGUGCUGAGAUGAAGGAAAGCAUGGCCUUUGCCAAGCGGUGCCAUGUCCGCACCCGGGAUCCGAAACCACGAACCCCAGGCUGCCAAGAAGCGGAACAUGGGAACUUAACCUCUGUGCCACCGGGCCGGCCCCAGCGUUCCUGUGCCUUUUUCGGGGACAGUCUUUCAUGUAAUCAAUUCUUCUAUCAGCUGCCACCUUCAUUCCAGUGCACUUUCAAGCCCUUUCCUGGUACUACCAAGUCACACUGUCUUCAUUUGACAUUUGGUCCUGGAUGUCUUUCUGGAGUUUGGGAGGUUUUACCAGUAUACCUGAACGGACCAUCUUCCAGAGUCGAUUAAAUCAUACAAUAUUGCCUGAGAAAUGCAUCUCAUGAGCUGCUUAUGCCCAGUUCUAUAGAUCAGAAGUUGAACAUGGGUCUCGCUGGACUAAAACCAAGGUACUGACACACCCCCGUUCCAUUCUGGAGGCUCUGGGGAGAAUCAUGGUAAGCUCCAGCUUUUCAAGGCUGGCCAUAUUCCUAAACUUGUGGCCCCUUACUUUAAAGUCAUCAAUGGAGCAUCUUUAUGACUAUUCUUCUAUAGUCACAUGUCCCUCAAUUACAGCCAGGGACAUUCCUUUCCUUUUAACGACCCAUGUAAUUAAACUGUGCCCAACUAGAUAAUACAGGAUAAUUACCCGAUCCCAAGAUCCCUCCCCUUCAACCCAUCUGCUAUGUAAGACAAAACAGUCACAGGUCCCUGGGAUUAGGGAAUAGCUAUCUUUAGAAGGCUCUUAUUUUACUUUAGAAGGCUCUUAUUUUACCUCCUAUCAUUAGAUUUACUCACAGUAUAUCAAUUGAUGAAAAAUCAACUAACAAUAGAGAACUCGUUAAAAAAAAUGACAAAAUAUUUUUAGGGGCUGGCCUGGUGGUGCAGCGGUUGAGUUUGCACAUUCCACUUCUGUGGCCCAGGGUUCGCCGGUUCACAUCCCGGGUGCAGACAUGGCAGCACUUCUCAAGCCAUGCUUUGGCAGGUGUCCCACCGAAAUGUUUGAGUGACGUGAAGACAACAGGCAGCACAGGGGGCUUUAAAACAAGGAUAGCUCGUCAUCAUCUGACACC